GAGGCGAACCGGGGGAACUGAAACAUCUAAGUACCCCGAGGAAAAGAAAUCAACCGAGAUUCCGAAAGUAGCGGCGAGCGAAAUUGGACUAGCCCUUAAGCUUUACACGCGUUAGACGAACGGUCUGGAAAGUCCGACGAUACAGGGUGAUAGUCCCGUAGUUGACGACGUGUGUUCAGUGAAAUCGAGUAGGGCGGGACACGUGAUAUCCUGUCUGAAUAUGGGGGGACCAUCCUCCAAGGCUAAAUACUACUGACUGACCGAUAGUGAACCAGUACCGUGAGGGAAAGGCGAAAAGAACCCCUGUGAGGGGAGUGAAAUAGAACCUGAAACCGUGUACGUACAAGCAGUAGGAGCAGGCUUUGUCCUGUGACUGCGUACCUUUUGUAUAAUGGGUCAGCGACUUAUAUUCAGUGGCAAGGUUAACCAUCUAGGGGAGCCGUAGGGAAACCGAGUCUUAACUGGGCGUUCAGUCUCUGGAUAUAGACCCGAAACCAGGUGAUCUAGCCAUGGGCAGGUUGAAGGUUGAGUAACAUCAACUGGAGGACCGAACCGACUAAUGUUGAAAAAUUAGCGGAUGACUUGUGGCUAGGGGUGAAAGGCCAAUCAAACCUGGAGAUAGCUGGUUCUCCCCGAAAGCUAUUUAGGUAGCGCCUCGGACGAAUACUACUGGGGGUAGAGCACUGUUAAGGCUAGGGGGUCAUCCCGACUUACCAACCCUUUGCAAACUCCGAAUACCAGUAAGUACUAUCCGGGAGACACACGGCGGGUGCUAACGUCCGUCGUGGAGAGGGAAACAACCCAGACCGCCAGCUAAGGUCCCAAAUUACUACUAAGUGGGAAACGAUGUGGGAAGGCUCAGACAGCCAGGAUGUUGGCUUAGAAGCAGCCAUCAUUUAAAGAAAGCGUAAUAGCUCACUGGUCGAGUCGGCCUGCGCGGAAGAUGUAACGGGGCUAAGUAGUAAACCGAAGCUGCGGCAAUAUACUUUUGUAUAUUGGGUAGGGGAGCGUUCUGUAAGCGGUUGAAGGUGUGUGGUAACGCAUGCUGGACGUAUCAGAAGUGCGAAUGCUGACAUGAGUAACGAUAAAGGGGGUGAAAAACCUCCUCGCCGGAAGACCAAGGGUUCCUGUCCAACGUUAAUCGGGGCAGGGUAAGUCGACCCCUAAGGCGAGGCCGAAAGGCGUAGUCGAUGGGAAACGGGUUAAUAUUCCCGUACUUCUUACAAUUGCGAUGGGGGGACGGAGAAGGCUAGGUGGGCCUGGCGACGGUUGUCCAGGUUCAAGUGCGUAGGCUUAAGAGUUAGGUAAAUCCGGCUCUUUUUAAGGCUGAG
RNAcentral lists this ribosomal RNA (1331 nucleotides) under Vibrio parahaemolyticus. RNAcentral's name for it is "partial 23S ribosomal RNA". It matches the Rfam family "Bacterial large subunit ribosomal RNA", at positions 176 to 1560 of the family's 2925-position model. Lineage: Bacteria; Pseudomonadati; Pseudomonadota; Gammaproteobacteria; Vibrionales; Vibrionaceae. The record is from RNAcentral.